This 372-nucleotide long non-coding RNA is filed under the name Pan troglodytes (chimpanzee). Its description in RNAcentral is "long non-coding RNA NONPTRT009960". Lineage: Eukaryota; Metazoa; Chordata; Mammalia; Primates; Hominidae. The record is from RNAcentral.
AGGCAGGAGAAUGGCGUGAACUCGGGAGGUGGAGCUUGCAGUGAGCCGAGAUAGCGCCACUGCACUCCAGCCUGGGUGACAGAACGAGACUCUGUCUCAAAAACAAAACAACAAAGGAAAUUCUGAGUUUGAGAAGCUUGUGGACAACCAAAAUGAAUAUGAUUAUUAUACGCAAUUUGAUGUAUGGGUUUGGGUUUGGACCUUUAGCAAGGAAUUCAAGAUUCAAGCGUGUUUGGCACAUGUGUGGCAGUGAAGCUCUGGAAGUCAGUGGUCCUUUUUUCUUGUGGGCAGAGGCAGCUGCAACUUGGAAUAGUGACACUAAAUCAGUCUCUGUGUCAAGGCUGUAAGAACCUGGAAGCUUCUACAUCCUAU